RNAcentral lists this transfer RNA (79 nucleotides) under Listeria monocytogenes. Its description in RNAcentral is "tRNA-Leu". The stretch from base 22 to 79 matches the Rfam family "tRNA". Rfam says of the family: Transfer RNA (tRNA) molecules are approximately 80 nucleotides in length. Their secondary structure includes four short double-helical elements and three loops (D, anti-codon, and T loops). The record is from RNAcentral. Lineage: Bacteria; Bacillati; Bacillota; Bacilli; Caryophanales; Listeriaceae.
GCCGUUCUGUGGCGACACCUGGCGCAUAUCCUGCGGACUUAAAAUCCGUAAAGUGUCGGUUCGAGUCCGACUGGGGGCA